Mytilus californianus (California mussel) is the source of this 549-nucleotide long non-coding RNA. RefSeq lists it as uncharacterized. Lineage: Eukaryota; Metazoa; Mollusca; Bivalvia; Mytilida; Mytilidae. The transcript has 2 exons. The record is from RefSeq and is a predicted model, not a curated record.
UUUGGUGAAAUAAUCUUUAAGAAAAUGCUGAUUUUAUGCAUUUUCCCAUAGGGUCAAUGUAAAACUUGCCCCAUGUUUCCAUGACAACAGCGGCCAUUUUGGACUAUCCAAAUGUUGUCUUGACAUCUUAGCAUACUGUGUAACAUUUUCAUAAAGUUUCAUCCAAUUGGGUCUUAUAACGAAAGAGUUAGAAUUUUUGAUAUUUUAACUGUUUCCAUGGUAACGGCAGCCAUUUUGAAAAUUCCAAAGUCAAACUGCAAAUCAGCACAUGCCAGUUAACAUUUCUGUGGAGUUUCUUCCAAUUUGGAACACUUUGAUUUUUUUCGCAGUUUUGCUGUUUCCAUGGAAACGGCGGCCAUUUUUUACCAUUCCAUAGCAAGGUGCACAACUUUACAUGGGGGUCCUCAUUAUAGUAGAGUUCCAUCAACAUUGGUUAAUUGGAUUCCAAGAACUCGAGGGAAAAAAUGUGUGGAAGAAAAAUAAGAAAAAAAAGAAACGAAGAAUAACAGUAUGUCACCCCAACUCCGUUGAGGGUGCCAUAAAAAGAAA